Molecule: transfer RNA, 71 nt
Filed under: Elusimicrobiota bacterium
Lineage: Bacteria; Pseudomonadati; Elusimicrobiota
Description: Elusimicrobia bacterium (groundwater metagenome) tRNA-Gln
Rfam family: tRNA
About the family: Transfer RNA (tRNA) molecules are approximately 80 nucleotides in length.
Source: RNAcentral
UCCCGGGUGGUGUAAUGGUAACACAACGCCCUUUGGAGGCGUCAUUCAUGGUUCGAAUCCAUGCCCGGGAG